This 467-nucleotide ribosomal RNA is filed under the name uncultured bacterium. RNAcentral's name for it is "partial 16S ribosomal RNA". It matches the Rfam family "Bacterial small subunit ribosomal RNA", at positions 29 to 507 of the family's 1533-position model. The record is from RNAcentral.
ACGAAUGCUGGCGGCGUGCUUAACACAUGCAAGUCGAACGGAAAGGCCCUGCUUUUGUGGGGUGCUCGAGUGGCGAACGGGUGAGUAACACGUGAGUAACCUGCCCUUGACUUUGGGAUAACUUCAGGAAACUGGGGCUAAUACCGGAUAGGAGCUCCUGCUGCAUGGUGGGGGUUGGAAAGUUUCGGCGGUUGGGGAUGGACUCGCGGCUUAUCAGCUUGUUGGUGGGGUAGUGGCUUACCAAGGCUUUGACGGGUAGCCGGCCUGAGAGGGUGACCGGCCACAUUGGGCCUGAGAUACGGCCCAGACUCCUACGGGAGGCAGCAGUGGGGAAUAUUGCACAAUGGGCGGAAGCCUGAUGCAGCAACGCCGCGUGCGGGAUGACGGCCUUCGGGUUGUAAACCGCUUUCGCCUGUGACGAAGCGUGAGUGACGGUAAUGGGUAAAGAAGCACCGGCUAACUACGUG